This 497-nucleotide ribosomal RNA is filed under the name uncultured bacterium. Its description in RNAcentral is "partial 16S ribosomal RNA". It matches the Rfam family "Bacterial small subunit ribosomal RNA", at positions 28 to 507 of the family's 1533-position model. The record is from RNAcentral.
GAUGAACGCUGGCGGCGUGCCUAAUACAUGCAAGUCGAGCGACAGGACGAGAAGCUUGUUCCUUUGAUGUUAGCGGCGGACGGGCGAGUAACACGUGGAUAACCUUCUUAUUUGACUGGGAUAAUUUCGGGAAACCGUAUCCACUACCGGAUAAUAUUUUGAACCGCAUGGUUCAAAAGUGCAUGACGGCUUUGCUGUCUCUUUUAGAUGGAUUCGCGCUGCAUUAGCUAGUUGGUAAGGUAACGGCUUACCAAGGCAACGAUGCGUAGCCGACCUGAGAGGGUGAUCAGCCACACUGGAACUGAGACACGGUCCAGACUCCUACGGGAGGCAGCAGUGGGGAAUAUUCCGCAAUGGGCGAAAGCCUGACGGAGCAACGCCGCGUGGGUGAUGAAGGUCUUCGGGUCGUAAAGCUCUGUUAUUAGGAAAGAACAGAUGUGGAAGUAACUGUGCACGUCUUGACGGUACCUAAACAGAAAGCCACGGCUAACUACGUG